GCAGUCGUGGCCGAGUGGUUAAGGCGAUGGACUUGAAAUCCAUUGUUGUUUCCCCGCACAGGUUCGAAUCCUGUCGGCUGCG
This 82-nucleotide transfer RNA is filed under the name Dermacentor andersoni. RNAcentral describes it as "transfer RNA serine (anticodon UGA)". It matches the Rfam family "tRNA". From Rfam's summary of the family: Transfer RNA (tRNA) molecules are approximately 80 nucleotides in length. Their secondary structure includes four short double-helical elements and three loops (D, anti-codon, and T loops). Lineage: Eukaryota; Metazoa; Arthropoda; Arachnida; Ixodida; Ixodidae. The record is from RNAcentral.